CAACAGUUUGGAUUAGUUCUAUUUGCAAAAGAGAAGGAUUGAUGUUCACAUGCUGCAAUGGUUAUGUUGGUCAACAAUUGGUGGUAUGGACUACCAAGCAUUCGUAUUUAUGCUGGUAAGAUUUGCGCGAAUGAAAUUACCAAAUCAUGUACGAUGAUUUACCACGAAUCGAGUAAUUUUGCUAUAAUGAUCAUUCAUCGCCUUUAACUUGCUUAAAAUGUUAUUUAAUACAAUAAAAAGUACACAUUGAUAUCAAGAAUUUAAUAAGGUCAUACAGCACAUUGAUAUCAAGAAUUUUAUAAGGUCAUACACAUAGGCAUCAAGAUUCAAGACAUACAGUAUAGGUUCACAAUAAAGUUUUGAGUAGGGCUGAGAUUUGUAGGUCAGACGUGCACAGUCUAACUUGAUAGAAACAGAUAAAUUUAUUGGCUUAAUCUUCCUGCACUACAACAAUGCUAUUCUAAAAUCACCAUAAUCCACCAAAUAUUACAUCAGAAGUCUAGCAACAGUGUUUCUCACACAAAAGUUAAAAAGUCAAUUAUCGAGCACCCCAAUUGAAGGGUAUCGAAUAAUCAGAAAAAUUAAAGUGGUAUCGGCCAAACUUUGGUUUUCUAAAUACAGCAACUUAAAAGUAUGUAGAUACAAAAUUAAGUUCUUUCAGCAGAAAUGUGAAAAUUUAGAUAUUUCAAGGAUAU
RNAcentral lists this long non-coding RNA (695 nucleotides) under Ananas comosus (pineapple). RNAcentral describes it as "long non-coding RNA (ACOM_LNC007086)". Lineage: Eukaryota; Viridiplantae; Streptophyta; Magnoliopsida; Poales; Bromeliaceae. The record is from RNAcentral.